CCCCAUUUACCUUUCACUCGCAUACGACAAACAUCUCUUAAUGAAGCAGUGGAGAAAUAUUGAGCGAGCAAAUUUAAGAAAAAAAAAGAAAAAAUAAACUUGAGAAAAAAGAGUUUAAUUAUAGACAUCGAAAUGAUUAGACAUUCUUGCCUGUUUUCAUGUAUUCUUGAGUUACUCUUUGGUUACAAGAUUUUUGCACUAACUAGUGCAACAAAAUUUUAACAUUCAAUGGUUGCAGCUUCCAAGGAAAAAUUGAGUGAACUGCUGCAGAUCAUUGCGGAAAAUCGCGAAAUGGUGCAAAACUACAACCAAACUUAUGCACGGGGGCGUGAACUGUGACAUAAUAUAAACUCUAAAUCAAAUUCAAUGGGUCUGGUCAACAAGCCAGAGGCAACUUGGCGAAAAGUUUAGAUUUAGGCGACCAUAAGUAUUGAACAAAAAGGAGGAUGAGCUAUAACAAAACAUCGUUGAAGCAAAUUGGAGCAAGGCCAAAGGAAGAAGUAGAAAUGACUGUCGAAGAGGAUAAAAUUUCAGAGUUAACAAAUUUAGAGGCAGCAGUGGAGGAUUUAAGGGGCAUUGAAAUUUGGCACAUCGGUCGAAUCUUUCGAUCAUGCUUUUCUUCACUAAUAGAGUAGUGUAGAGUAGUUUAAUGUGCAAUUUUCUGUUUUUUUAAAUUGUUUUUUAUGUGUUUAGAAACAAUGUAGCAUAUGUACUAUUUGAAGAGGAUACGUCAAUUGCAGCUAAAAAGCGAAAGCAAUUUUGCGUAUGUGAUUUAUGAUUUUAAAAGUUUAAGAUUUGGUUUCUUUUUGUUUGGCUAAGCCAGAUUAUUGAAAGCCAGGGAAGGAAGGACCCAUUUAACAUACGCAAUUUGCUCCAAGACCAAAUCGAUACUGAAAGACGUUUUCAAGAAACCAUCCAAAAGCAAUGAAGGGAGUAAAAUCAAUUAUAGUCGUUCAACGCCAAGGUACUGAAGCUGAAAAAGUUCGAUUUCCUUUUUCCCAAAAUACCAAAUGAUUUCAAAGGUGAUGACAAGCGACUUCGUUAAACGCUUUCU
Molecule: long non-coding RNA, 1054 nt
Organism: Glossina fuscipes
Lineage: Eukaryota; Metazoa; Arthropoda; Insecta; Diptera; Glossinidae
Exons: 3
Source: RefSeq, a predicted model, not a curated record